GCGGCAAAAGCUCAAAUUUGAAAUCUGGCUCCGUUCCGGGGUCCGAGUUGUAAUUUGCAGAGGAUGCUUUGGGUGCACCCGCGGCGUAAGUCCCUUGGAACAGGGCGUCACAGAGGGUGAGAAUCCCGUCUUGAGUCGCUGGCGUGUGCCCGUGCAAAGCUCCUUCGACGAGUCGAGUUGUUUGGGAAUGCAGCUCUAAUUGGGUGGUAAAUUUCAUCUAAAGCUAAAUACUGGCCGGAGACCGAUAGCGAACAAGUAGAGUGAUCGAAAGGUUAAAAGCACCUUGAAAAGGGAGUUAAAUAGCACGUGAAAUUGUUGAAAGGGAAGCGCUUGCAGCCAGACUCGGGCGCGGAGGCUCAGCGGGCAUGUUUGCCCGUGUACUCCUUCGCGCCCGGGCCAGCAUCAGUUUUGGCGGCCGGUCAAAGGCCCCCGGGAUGUAUCGUCCUCCGGGACGUCUUAUAACCGGGGGUGCAAUGCGGCCAGCCGGGACUGAGGAA
RNAcentral lists this unclassified non-coding RNA (497 nucleotides) under Malbranchea aurantiaca. RNAcentral's name for it is "sequence contains 28S rRNA gene". It matches the Rfam family "Eukaryotic large subunit ribosomal RNA", at positions 98 to 596 of the family's 3401-position model. The record is from RNAcentral. Lineage: Eukaryota; Fungi; Ascomycota; Eurotiomycetes; Onygenales; Malbrancheaceae.